GCGCUGGCGCAGUGGAAGCGCGCCCGAGAUGUUCGGGAGGUCGCGGGUUCGACUCCCGCGCGUGCGCG
This 68-nucleotide transfer RNA is filed under the name Myxococcales bacterium. RNAcentral's name for it is "tRNA-His". It matches the Rfam family "tRNA". From Rfam's summary of the family: Transfer RNA (tRNA) molecules are approximately 80 nucleotides in length. Lineage: Bacteria; Pseudomonadati; Myxococcota; Myxococcia; Myxococcales. The record is from RNAcentral.